GACGAACGCUGGCGGCGUGCUUAACACAUGCAAGUCGAACGAUGAAGCCUAGCUUGCUAGGUGGAUUAGUGGCGAACGGGUGAGUAAUACGUGAGUGACCUACCUUUGACUCUGGGAUAAGCCUGGGAAACUGGGUCUAAUACCGGAUACGACCAAUCUCCGCAUGGGGUGCUGGUGGAAAGCGUUAUGGAGUGGUUUUAGAUGGGCUCACGGCCUAUCAGCUUGUUGGUGAGGUAAUGGCUUACCAAGGCGACGACGGGUAGCCGGCCUGAGAGGGUGACCGGCCACACUGGGACUGAGACACGGCCCAGACUCCUACGGGAGGCAGCAGUGGGGAAUAUUGCACAAUGGGCGCAAGCCUGAUGCAGCGACGCCGCGUGAGGGAUGACGGCCUUCGGGUUGUAAACCUCUGUUAGCAUCGAAGAAGCGAAAGUGACGGUAGGUGCAGAGAAAGCGCCGGCUAACUACGUG
This 471-nucleotide ribosomal RNA is filed under the name uncultured bacterium. RNAcentral describes it as "partial 16S ribosomal RNA". It matches the Rfam family "Bacterial small subunit ribosomal RNA", at positions 28 to 507 of the family's 1533-position model. The record is from RNAcentral.